AAUUAAUAAAAUUGUUUUUAUUUUAAUUUGAUUUAUUAAUAUAUAUAUAUAAAUUAAAUAAAUUAAUGUUUGUGUAAUAUUUAUUGAUAAAAUUGGUUUUACUAUAGUUUAUUAGUACUGUGAAGGAAAUUUAAUUUUAUAAUUAAUAAAAGAUAAUUUAAUUAAUUGUAUCUUGUGUAUCAGAGUAUAUUAAAAUGAAUUAUAGAUUUUUUUUGUUCUCGAAUUUAAAAGAUUUAAUUAAAUAUACUAGUUAUUGUUUCAUAAAUAUUAGUAAUAUUUAAUUGGUAAUGAGAUGUUAUUCGUUUUUAAGGAUAUCUAGUUUUUUAAUAAAUGAAUUUAAUUCAGAAUAUAUAAUUUAUUUAAUAAUUUUGUAUUGUGAUAUUUUAUAUAUUUAAUUUUAAAAGGGAUUAUCUUUUUAAAAUAUUAUUAUAAUAAUAUUUUGUCUUAGGAUUUUAUGAAUUUAGAGGUUGUUAUUAAUUAAAGGAUGUUAAAAUUUAAUUCUUGAUUUUGAUAAUUUUAAUUUAUUUAAUUUAUAUAUUAAAAUGUUAAUUUGAAUUUAGUAGAUUUAGUAAUAAUGAUUUAAUUAGUAAAAUAUUUUGUAAAUAUAAAUUUUUAUAUUAAUUUUAGUAUAAAGAAUUAGGCAAAGUUUUUGCUCACCUGUUUAUUAAAAACAUGGUUUCCUGAUUAAUAUUUAGGAAAUCUGGCCUGCCCACUGAAAAUUUUUGAAGGGCCGCAGUAUUUUGACUGUGCGAAGGUAGCAUAAUCAUUAGUCUUUUAAUUAAAGGCUUGUAUGAAUGGUUGGAUGAGGUAAAUACUGUUUUAUAUUAAAAAUUUGAAUUUUGAUUUUAAGUAAAAAUACUUAAAUUUAAUUAAGGGACGAGAAGACCCUAUAGAGUUUAAUAAAUGUAAUAAUAAAUUGAGUUAAUAAGAAUAUUUUAGUUUUUAUUAAGUUUAUUUAAUUGGGGUGAUUAAAGGAUAAAUGAAACUCCUUUUUAAGUUAAAUAUUAUAAUUAGUAAUGUGAUCCAUAAUUAAUGAUUGAAAGAUUAAAUUACCUUAGGGAUAACAGCAUAAUUUCUUUUGAGAGUUCAUAUUGAAAAAGAAGAUUGUGACCUCGAUGUUGGAUUAAGAUUUGUUUAGGGUGUAGGUGUUCAUAAACUGGGUCUGUUCGACCUUUAAAAUCUUACAUGAUCUGAGUUUAAACCGGCGUGAGCCAGGUUGGUUUCUAUCUUUAAUUUAAUUAAAUAUCUUAGUACGAGAGGACCAGAUAUUUAAAAUAAUUUGUAUUAAAUUGAAUAUUAUUAAUUAA
This 1307-nucleotide ribosomal RNA is filed under the name Blepharopsis mendica. RNAcentral describes it as "16S ribosomal RNA". The stretch from base 1060 to 1218 matches the Rfam family "Archaeal large subunit ribosomal RNA", at positions 2542 to 2701 of the family's 2987-position model. Lineage: Eukaryota; Metazoa; Arthropoda; Insecta; Mantodea; Empusidae. The record is from RNAcentral.